This 253-nucleotide ribosomal RNA is filed under the name uncultured bacterium. Its description in RNAcentral is "partial 16S ribosomal RNA". It matches the Rfam family "Bacterial small subunit ribosomal RNA", at positions 524 to 776 of the family's 1533-position model. The record is from RNAcentral.
UACGUAGGUGGCAAGCGUUGUCCGGAUUUACUGGGCGUAAAGAGCGCGCAGGCGGUCGUUCAAGUCGCGUGUGAAAGCCCCCGGCUCAACUGGGGAGGGUCACGCGAUACUGAUCGACUCGAAGGCAGGAGAGGGAAGUGGAAUUCCCGGUGUAGUGGUGAAAUGCGUAGAUAUCAGGAGGAACACCGGUGGCGAAGGCGGCUUUCUGGACAGUAACUGACGCUGAGGCGCGAAAGCUAGGGGAGCAAACAGG